GAUGAACGCUGGCGGCGUGCUUAACACAUGCAAGUCGAACGGAAAGGCCCAAGAUUGCUUGGGUACUCGAGUGGCGAACGGGUGUGUAACACGUGGGGGAUCUGCCCUGCACUUCGGGAUAAGCCUUGGAAACUGGGUCUCAUACCGGGUAGGAUCACUUCAUGGUUGUUGUGGUGGAGAGAUUUUUGGUUGUGGGAUGAGUUCGCGGCCUAUCAGCGUGUUGGUGGGGUAUUGGUCUACCAAGGCGUCGCCGGGUAACCGGACUGGGAGAGUGUACGGCCGCAUUGAGACUGAGGGACGGCCCAGGCACCGACGGGAGGCAGAUGGGGGGAAUAUUGCACAAGCAGCGCAAGCCUGAUGCAGAGACGCCGCGGGGGGGAUGACGGCCUUCGGGUUGUAGAAUCAAUUCGCUAGGGACGAAGCGUUUUGUGACGGUACCUGAAGAAAAAGCACCGGCUAACUACGUG
Molecule: ribosomal RNA, 467 nt
Filed under: uncultured bacterium
Lineage: Bacteria
Description: partial 16S ribosomal RNA
Rfam family: Bacterial small subunit ribosomal RNA
Source: RNAcentral